This 257-nucleotide ribosomal RNA is filed under the name uncultured bacterium. Its description in RNAcentral is "partial 16S ribosomal RNA". It matches the Rfam family "Bacterial small subunit ribosomal RNA", at positions 73 to 334 of the family's 1533-position model. The record is from RNAcentral.
CUUGCUUCUUUGCUGGCGACCGGCGCACGGGUGAGUAACACGUAUCCAACCUGCCCUUUACCCGGGGAUAGCCUUUCGAAAGAAAGAUUAAUACCCGAUAGCAUAAUGAUUCCGCAUGGUUUCAUUAUUAAAGGAUUCCGGUAAAGGAUGGGGAUGCGUUCCAUUAGGUUGUUGGUGGGGUAACGGCCCACCAAGCCUUCGAUGGAUAGGGGUUCUGAGAGGAAGGUCCCCCACAUUGGAACUGAGACACGGUCCAA